Molecule: long non-coding RNA, 518 nt
Filed under: Vigna radiata
Lineage: Eukaryota; Viridiplantae; Streptophyta; Magnoliopsida; Fabales; Fabaceae
Description: long non-coding RNA (VRAD_LNC002758)
Source: RNAcentral
AUGCACUUCCAUUACACAACACCGAUAAUGUGUCAUCUUUGUCUAAAAAGUAAACCCAACGUACAUCUCUCUAUAACGUGUAAUGUUAAUAUUCACUACAAGUCUAAAUCACCUUACCACGAGAACCACAUCACUAAACCAUUCUUUAGCACCACCACGAUCAUCCUAAUUGAACCACCUCAUCAAUAACAACGAAACACAUGUACACAUAAAUCGACUUUAACGUUACACCCUUCAUCGCAAAUUUAAACCCAACAGAAUCCAUGAACCACAAAAAACCAUGAAACUCCUCUAACGCGCAAAUAGUCUUCGCACCAGACCUCCACGUAUUAACUCGUUGUCAACCACCGCGAACGAGACACCUAUAACAAGUCACUAGCCCAACCAAACCCAAAACUCACUUACACCAUAAGCAAACAUGUGUCCAUCACGCCACCACCACAUAUCUCCUCCACAAAACCCCAAUUAUGCCUCCUCCACGCAAAGAUUCUUUACAAAUCAGCCACCAUGAAAGUAGU